This 253-nucleotide ribosomal RNA is filed under the name uncultured bacterium. RNAcentral's name for it is "partial 16S ribosomal RNA". It matches the Rfam family "Bacterial small subunit ribosomal RNA", at positions 524 to 776 of the family's 1533-position model. The record is from RNAcentral.
GACAGAGGGUGCAAACGUUGUUCGGAAUUACUGGGCGUAAAGCGCGUGUAGGCGGCAGGGCAUGUCGGAUGUGAAAUCCCGUGGCUCAACCACGGAAGUGCACCCGAAACUGCCCAGCUUGAGUCUCGGAGAGGAAGGCGGAAUGCUUGGUGUAGAGGUGAAAUUCGUAGAUAUCAAGCGGAACACCGGUGGCGAAGGCGGCCUUCUGGACGAUGACUGACGCUGAGACGCGAAAGCGUGGGGAGCGAACCGG